Molecule: ribosomal RNA, 412 nt
Filed under: uncultured bacterium
Lineage: Bacteria
Description: partial 16S ribosomal RNA
Rfam family: Bacterial small subunit ribosomal RNA (bases 180-412)
Source: RNAcentral
AUUACCUGCGGCUGCUGGCACAUAGUUAGCCGGUGCUUCUUCUGCAGUGUACCUGUCACUUUCGCUUCUUCCCUGCUGAAAGCGGUUUACAACCCGAAUGCCUUCAUCCCUGCACGCUGGCUGUCGCUUUGGUCAGAGUUUCCUCCAUUGCCCAAUAUUCCCCACUGCUGCCUCCCUGUAGCCCCCCGUGCCCCCGCCCUGCCCUGCCGCGCGCGGCUGUGGCUGGUGAGUGAAUAUUUGGACAAUGGGCGCAAGCCUGAUCCAGCCAUGCCGCUGUGCAGUGAUGACGUGUCCUAUGUGAUUGUAAACUUGCUUUUUGUACAGGAAGAAACCCUUUCACGUGUGGAAGAUUUGACGNGUACUGUAAGAAUAAGGAUCUGGCUAACUCCUGUGCCAGCAUGCCGCGGUAAUA